GCCAGGCAGAGAGACACAUGCCUGUGGCCCUACUCAGAAGGCAGGUGGAUCACUUGAGCCCAGGAGUUAUGCACUGUGAUGUGCUAUGCUGAUUGGGUGUCUGCACUAAGUUCAGCAUCAAUAUGGUGACCUCCCAGGAGCUGGGGACCACCAGGUUGCCUAAAGAGGGGUGAACCAGCCCAGGGCAGAAAUGGAGCAGGUCAAAGCUCCUGUGCUGAUCGGUAGUGGGAUCAUGCCUAUGAAGAGCCACUGCACUCUAGCUUGGGCAACACAGAAUUUUU
RNAcentral lists this signal recognition particle RNA (281 nucleotides) under Aotus nancymaae (Ma's night monkey). RNAcentral's name for it is "Metazoan signal recognition particle RNA (ENSANAG00000006092.1)". It matches the Rfam family "Metazoan signal recognition particle RNA". Rfam says of the family: The signal recognition particle (SRP) is a universally conserved ribonucleoprotein. It is involved in the co-translational targeting of proteins to membranes. The eukaryotic SRP consists of a 300-nucleotide 7S RNA and six proteins: SRPs 72, 68, 54, 19, 14, and 9. Lineage: Eukaryota; Metazoa; Chordata; Mammalia; Primates; Aotidae. The record is from Rfam by way of RNAcentral.